AAAUAUUUCCAAAAUGUACCAAAAUUUAGCAUAGUAUAGCCUAAAACAAAGCUAUAACAAGCUAUAAACCAACAUAAUUAACCAUACCCAUGAUAUAUCACUAAUUUUCAAAAUGGCUAGAUGAAAGACGAUUUUUCUGGCAAGUUUUAUUACAUCACUUUUGCUAAAACAACAAAACAAAUUUCACCAUUGAAAUCAGCAAUUCUCUUUGAAAUGGUGUAUAAAUAAUGGUGGUAGUGUUGAUGUAUACCCAGUGCAACCUCGUUGUCGGACCCCUUUAUGUUGGACUACAGGUGAUUAGCAGCUGCUGAGGUUUACGAAACUUCUUCCCUCAGACUUCUUGGCUGCCGAUUCUCCGAUAAUAAUGUUGUAGCUUUACCUUUCACUUAGCUUUCAUCCUGACUGAUUAUUGAGGUCUCCAUUUUUAGUUACUCCGUCAUUUUUAUUUCAUGAUGAUUUCUCCACAGGCAUUUAAAAGUUAGGUUAAAAAUAAUCGUGGAGUAAGUAAAAAUGUACAAUUUCUUCAGUCCACACUUUUCAAGGAGUAAAACAAGAGAAUAAAACAAAAUGCGAUUUUAUUAAAACUAAUUAGAAUAGCCUACAUUGUAAAACGCAUCUGUGGAUUGUGCUAAAGGGCCUAUGUCUAGAUAAGUUACAAAUAACAAGUGUAUGACAAACACAGUUCCAUUUUUGGCAUAGUAAAUGCUUAAGUUAAUUUUAUAAAAUUGGUCUUUGAGAUGUUUUUUACUUUUUCAUUUUCUUUUAGAUGUUGUCUCUUUUUUAGAUAAUAAAGUACCCUGCAAUUGUACUGCAGACAUGCUUCUUUAUCAUUACACCAUAGGAAUAUGGUUUUGGAUUUCAAACUCUUAAGUACGAAUUAAGAUUGAAGAUUUGAUUAAAGUAGUUUUAUUUAACUUUUUAUAGUAUUUGCAAAAACAAAGCUAUUUAAAUAGAUCAGCAGACUUAUUGAUUGAAUUUUCAACAGUUGAAAGCUAAAUGAGACGUUACAAGAGCCAAUGUAAGCCAAUUUCUUAGGAUUAAAUUCUAGAAUAGUUUAGUUUUCCUAUGUUAGUUACGUGUCUGGUUAUAUUCUUGAUGUAGUGAGUUGUCUAAAAACAUUUGUAACUAAUUAGUAAUUAAGUUGCUUGCUCUUAAGUGACUUUCUAAAUUAAGACAAUCUUUCAAUCCACUACUUAAAAUGUACUACUCAUCAUUAGUAAAGGUUAUGUUAGUAU
Molecule: long non-coding RNA, 1235 nt
Organism: Homalodisca vitripennis (glassy-winged sharpshooter)
Lineage: Eukaryota; Metazoa; Arthropoda; Insecta; Hemiptera; Cicadellidae
Exons: 2
Source: RefSeq, a predicted model, not a curated record